Molecule: long non-coding RNA, 4674 nt
Filed under: Homo sapiens (human)
Lineage: Eukaryota; Metazoa; Chordata; Mammalia; Primates; Hominidae
Description: non-protein coding lnc-DTWD2-14:1
Source: RNAcentral
AGCAGGAGUCGGAAGUGGCCCAGGCGCAGGAGAGCGCGGAGAAGGGCUGGGCGGCGGCCCGGGAGCCGGACUCGGACCGCGAGGCCCAGAUCGCUGGGCGCUGGAGAACAGGACCCUCUUGGGAGAUGUGCAUAGGAUACGGUAUUCCUGAGCCUCUCAGUUUCUUCCGUUGUAAAAAUGAGACGCCAACCUCGUAGUGUGUUGAGAUGGUUAAAUGGGGCCAUACACAUUUGCACUGUGCCUUGCACUUAACAAGAACGCGUGAAUGUUAGUGUCUGCUGCCAUCAUUAUUGACUAUUAUGAUGAUGAUCCGUGAAAGCCCCUGAAUUCCGCCUGCUCUUUUGCUUUUAAUUUUCUGCGGGCCUUAAGUCUACCCUACGAUAGCUGACGCGCUCCCGAUUCCUGGUUUCCAUUUGCGGAGAAUGCAGGGCUUCCUCUUGGAGUUAAAGACUCAUUGGCUCCUGGAAAGCCCUCGCUCUCUGCCGCCCCCCGCGGACUUAGCUGUGACUGUCCUUGCCUGUGGAGCAGAAGGCUUGCCCUCCUCAGGGGCCACCCGAGACCGCCAGGAUGGAGUAGGAUCUGGACCUUCAGUCUGUUGAGGAGCCCUGGCCCGGGGUAGCCAUUUUCAAGGGCGAGGGACCUUGGUGGGAGUACGAUGAAUCCAUCCAUACAAUAAACAUCCAUUAAGCACCUAGUACAUGGCAGCGGGGGGCAGAGGGCUGGAAAUAUUAAUAAUACUAGUAAAACUUAAUAUGUGUAGGUCACCGUUCUACUCCUUACAACAAUCUAUGAUAUAGAUCCUGUCGCUAUCCCUGUUUUACAAAGGGAAAGGGAGACAUCGUGAAGUAAAUAGCCUUCCCAAAGAAAGUUACACGUUUGGGAAAUGGCUGAGUUUGGCUUGGAGAGAGGAAAGUAAACUCUUGAUAGGUGAAAUAGACAAAAUCACAACACAUUUGGGUUUAAUGCAAAAGAUAGAAACAUACACAAGGUACGGAGGUUUUUAAAAGAGGACCUUGUCCUGUGGUUAUAACUUUGGGGAAGGGCGUCAGGGAGAUCUUCCUGGUGUAGGUGAUGUCUGAGCUGGGUUUGGAAGAAGAAAUGGGAGCUUCAAAGGCAGCUUAUAAGUGAAGAAGAAUCACAGUAAACUUUUUCAAGCCUGAAUAAGGAUGGAGGAGAAGUGGAAUGGUGGCCGGAAUAAAGCUAAAACAGUAAAACAGGACCAAACUCAAGGGCUGUUUUCCUAUAGAAACUAAACAACAUUAAUUUGACCUUUGAUUGGUAGGAAGCCAGAAGGGUUUUAAGCACAGGAGAUAUGUCAGGUGUGGUUCUAGAAAGUUUAAUCUGGAAACAUAGAAGAUCCCAGAACCAAGAAACUUGCUUAGGAAAUAUUGAAAUAUGUCGGUGAGAUACUUCAGUAGGCAGAAUGAGUAGAGUUACAGAAAGAGGUCCACUUCUUAAUCCCUGGAACCUGUAAAUAUGUUAUCUUACAUGGCAAAAGAAUUUUUGCAGGUGUUACCUUCUCAUUCGGUCAUGGGAAAAAAAAGAAUAAAGAAAUUUUGCAGGUGUGAUUAAGAUUGAUGCCAUUGAGAUGGGGGAUUAUCCUGGAUUAUUUCAGUGAGCCCAAUCUAAUCACAUGAAUCCCCUAAAAUGGAAGAAGAGUGGGUCAAAGAGAUUCAAAGUGUGAGAGGGACUCAACCUGAACCACGAACCAAGGACUGUGGAUAACCUCCAGGAGCUGGGAAAGGACCUUAGCUGACAGCCAACAAAAAAUUCACUUUCUUUAUCUGGUCUAGACUUGUUUUUCUUCCACAGUCCUACAACAGCAGAAACUGAAUUCUGCCAAUAACCUAAAUGAGCAAGGAAAUGGAUCCUCCCUUAGAGUCUUCAGAAAGUGAUUGAGCUCUACUGACACCUUAAUUUUAUCCUGAAGGGGUUUCACCAUGUUUCCCAGACUGGUCUUGAACUCCUGGACUCAAGCAAUCCUCCCACUUUGACCUCUCAAAGUGCUGGGAUUACAGACAUGAGCCACCCCUCCUCCCCUGCUUUUUUUGAGACAUGGUCUCACUUUGGACCCAGACUGAAGUAGUGGUAUGAUCACUACUCACUGCAGCCUCAACCUCCCCAGCUCAGACAAUCCUCCUGCCUCAAGUAGCUGGGACCACAAGAAUGUGCUACCAUGCCCGGCUAAUUUUUAAAUUAUUUGUAGAGAUGGGGGUCUUCCUAUGUUGCCCAGGCUGGUCUUGAACUCUUAGGCUCAAGCAAUCCUCUUGCCUGGGCCUUCCAGUGCUGGGAUUACAGGAACUGGCCACUGCACCUGGCCUAGCGUGUUUUUGUAUGUUCAAAGAAACGUUUUGAGAGUAAAUUUGUGUGGAUUUUUUUUUCACAUGUGGUAUAAACUAUUCACGUUACAAUAGUAAACAAUCUUAUGGACAAGUGUAGGGGGGCUGUUUUUUUCAUUCAGGAGCACAGUGCUUUAUUUGUAAAAUAAAUCACGAUUUCCUUUAAAAAAAUCACACACCUUUAUGGAGGAUAUUUUUGGAUUCUUUGAUAUCUUGUUAAACGACACUUACCUUCAUUUACUUCCUUCUCUCCCUUCACCAAUAAGCCUCCAAAGGACAUCAGUUCCUCUGAAGAUGGCCUAUUUCAGAACUAAUUUCCCAAAAUAUUCACACCUAAUCACAUACAAUUUCCAACUCUAUUUUUCAGUAGCCAGUUAUUUGUUCUAUUUCACCAUUCAGAAUGAGACCCUCUCCUUCUAAACUCCAGUUCAUAUUGUGUCAGUACCAGUAGAAUCCUGCACUCUUCUAUGUACCCCUUUUCCAAUCAUUUUCUGCUACAGUGUGGGGUCUGGGAGACUCAGAUAUUUAUUUCCUAAAUUAUAUGUAAUUUAAAGGUUGCUGUCUUCUCUGCCAUCUAAUAUGCUUAGGUAUGGUAUCUGAGUGAUUUGUUCUUUUUGUUCUUUAAAGGGAUUUGUGAAACAGUUGAAAUUUAGAUGACUGUCAUUACUGUAUAAGAAUCUUGGGCUUCUGACUAUGAGGUACAGGGCCAUGGUGAAUGCUUAUAUAACUUAUUAGGGGGAUGUGUUGGGGUGAAGUCUAGCCCUCGCUUCAUUUGCUGUUUCUUGUGGAACUGCAUUAUCAGAAGAUAUGCCUCAUUUGUAGGGCUACAUCCAUGUAACUUCAUCUACACAUGAAGUUUUCUUUAAUGUAAACUCCAGAUGGGGCAUUCCCCCCCGUCAUAAAACUUCUCAUUAGGAAAAAGCCCUAUGAGAUCUUAACAUACACUGCAAGUAUUGUAGCUUGCUUAGUUAUCUUCAUGUCUGAAUGGCCAUAGUAAUCUGAUGCAUUUUCUGCAAAACACAGAAUGAAACAACCCAAAUACAGACAACCAGAUCCUAUUUUAAGGAAUUAUCUUUGCUUGUGUUCAGAAUAAACUGAAAAAAAAAAAAAAAAGGUAUGGCUUCAGAAAACAAAUAUGCUGCAAUUUCAGAAAUGAUGCUAAGAGUAGAUUCCAAAGGAUUUUUAAAACUUAUUUAACGUAUGUCCAGGGAUACACCAUACUGGCUGAGUUCUGUUACACAGGUCAUACCUGUACAUUGCAUAGAAAAUUGAUUGUCCAUGAAUAAAGCAUUUUUUCCACUGUGGAGUGAAAUGUGUUGUCACACCAAUUGUUUCUAUUAGUCAUCUGUAUUUGCAGUGGAAGAACUUAAAAGUGUUUUUGUUCCAAGGACCCCUGUGAAACAAUGUGACACUCUCAGUGUUAGUUCCUUGAGUAAUGGACCAUAUAUGUGCAAUGACAGCCAAGCAGAAAGAAAAAACAUCUUGAAAAGCUCAAAAACAGAUUCAGCUUUGAAAAUAACUGGACUGAAAUCUACACACAUUUCUAGAAUACUAACAGGCACAUUCAAAUAAUCUAUGAUCAACUUUUUCCAGGUACUCCAAUGCAGCAAUCCCCAACCCUUUUGGCACCAGGGACUGGUUUCGUGGGAAGACAGUUAUUCCAUGGAGCCAGAUGGUUUCAGGAUGAUUCAAGCGCAUUACACGUAUUGUGCAGUUUAUUAUUACAUUGUAAUAUAUGAUGAAAUAAUUAUACAACUCACCAUGACAUAAAAUCAGUGGGAGUCUUGAGCUUGUUUUCCUACAACUGGAUGGUCCCAUCUGGGGGUGAUGGGAGACAGUGACAGAUCAUCAGGCAUCACUCUCAUAAUGAGCACACAACCUAGAUCCCUUGCAUGCGCAGUUCACAGUAGGGUUCCUGCUCCUAUGAGAAUCGAAUGCCUCCACUGAUCUGACAGGAGGCGGAGCUCAGGUGGUAAUGCAAGCAAUGGGGAGCAGCUAUAAAUACACAUGAAGCUUUGCCCAACACUCACCUCCUGCUGUGCAACCCGGUACCAGUUGUCACCCAUGGGCUGGGGACUCCUGCUCCAAAGGGUAACAUUUUAACAUUCAGCUUAAAUAAAUUUCACCAAAAAUAUCUCAACAAUUCAAAGAGGAGUGUUCCUGACACCAGAUCACUUUAUUCAACAGAGCAGCUCCCAAAGUCAUGAAGUACUACUUGGUUUAAAAAUAAAGCUGUUUUUCCCACGUACACACAUUCAACAAAACUAUCUUUGGUAUUACUUUACUGAGUGAGGUUUAAAGGAGUUUGGGAAAAUAUUACAGCCUUCUUCCUUUU